GGGGAUGAUCGGCUUCGACAUUCUUGUACCUUGAUAAUGUGCGACAUCGUGCACGUUCGUUAACACGUAAAAUUGCGAACACCAUAUACAUGCAAACAAUUCAUUUGCACGUGCGGUAAAGUCACCAUUUAGCAUGGCUGACUUCGCAUUCGCUCGCGUUUAAGCUAGCGGCUCAGUACAAUCCUUUUCUUGUGGGGAGCGUACAUGAGGUUAUCUCGCAAGAUCGGAAAACAUAUGUGCUCCAUAUAUUUUCUUAAACCUUAGAGCUCGACGUGACUGGGUUUUGUCUACUUCUUACCACCACGUUUAAAUCCCUGAGGUAGACUAUGUGUCGUAGAAGCAUCGUCGAGAACAUUUUUGGACGCGGGUUCGAUUCCCGCCAUCUCCACA
RNAcentral lists this transfer-messenger RNA (390 nucleotides) under marine eukaryotic metagenome. It matches the Rfam family "transfer-messenger RNA". From Rfam's summary of the family: Bacterial tmRNA, also known as 10Sa RNA or SsrA, is named for its dual tRNA and mRNA-like properties. The record is from RNAcentral.